RNAcentral lists this transfer RNA (72 nucleotides) under Pangasianodon gigas (Mekong giant catfish). Its description in RNAcentral is "tRNA-Glu". Lineage: Eukaryota; Metazoa; Chordata; Actinopteri; Siluriformes; Pangasiidae. The record is from RNAcentral.
UCCCUGGAGGACUAGUGUUUAGGCCUCAGCACACUCACCACUGUGGCCCGGGUUCGAUUCCCAGUCAGGGAA